Long non-coding RNA from Mesocricetus auratus (golden hamster), 586 nucleotides. RefSeq lists it as uncharacterized. The transcript has 2 exons. NCBI's taxonomy places the organism in Eukaryota, Metazoa, Chordata, Mammalia, Rodentia, Cricetidae. The record is from RefSeq and is a predicted model, not a curated record.
CACCGCCAUCAUCGAGCCAUGGCCCAGCGACAGAAUGGCCGUAUCGCCUUCCUUGAUCAGCUCCUCGUACGCCACGAAGCUCAUGGUGUCAACGUCUACCAAGUAUCCGGGACCUGGGGAAAUGGUGUGUGAGCGUGAGCUGUGAAGGCGGAGGCCCCUGGAAGGUGUGCUCCAGCGGCGGAGCCGAGUCGCCGCCAAGCCGGGAUUCCGCGGCGCCCCUUGCCCAGAGUCCCCCGGGCGGGCUCCCGACGGCAGGGACGGCUGGCUACCCGCGGAACGGCGCGGGACCUGCAGGCAAUCCCGGAGCGCCUCUCCCGCCCUGGCCACUUAGUCCACGCUCGGACACUCACCCGGCGCACGCCGGCUCUCGGCUCACACGUGGCUCCGUUGCGACCGCCGCACUUCCGGUGCCUUUUGAUGACGUCGACGCCGGCGCGGGGAUUGCCGGGAGCCUCGGCGCUGUCCUCUGCGCGCCCCCAGAGGACGUUUCCUGGCUGGCGUCUCCGCGCCGGUGGCCUUGUGUGCAGACUUGCGCGUUGCCUGGGAGACGCGAGCGCUGUGCAAAAUAAAAGUCCCCUCCUCGCCA